Molecule: transfer RNA, 74 nt
Filed under: Mesonia sp.
Lineage: Bacteria; Pseudomonadati; Bacteroidota; Flavobacteriia; Flavobacteriales; Flavobacteriaceae
Also listed under: 1 other name
Description: tRNA-Met
Rfam family: tRNA
About the family: Transfer RNA (tRNA) molecules are approximately 80 nucleotides in length.
Source: RNAcentral
GGCGAGGUAGCUCAGUUGGUUAGAGCGUCGGAUUCAUAACUCGGAGGUCCCGGGUUCAAAUCUCGGUCUCGCUA